AAUCAGUGCCACCAAACAGGUGCCUCUCGCCAGAGAGGAGAAUAGGGAAGGCGGCAGGAUGCUAAAGUGUCCUGGAACGCCGCGGUCGCGCCACUGUAAUCGGGGAGGAGCCUUUGCCCAUGCCGGCUGGUCGCCGGGAGGCGCAAAGGUUUCGCAGAACCGUAGCCAGGAGACCUGCCUGUUUUGGCUGUCAUUU
RNAcentral lists this non-coding RNA (196 nucleotides) under Acetonema longum. Lineage: Bacteria; Bacillati; Bacillota; Negativicutes; Acetonemataceae. RNAcentral also lists the same sequence under 1 other name. The record is from RNAcentral.